RNAcentral lists this ribosomal RNA (541 nucleotides) under uncultured bacterium. RNAcentral's name for it is "bacterial SSU rRNA". It matches the Rfam family "Bacterial small subunit ribosomal RNA", at positions 355 to 896 of the family's 1533-position model. The record is from RNAcentral.
UGAGGAAUAUUGGUCAAUGGACGGAAGUCUGAACCAGCCAAGUAGCGUGCAGGAUUGACGGCCCUAUGGGUUGUAAACUGCUUUUGUUGGGGAGUAAAGUGAGGCACGCGUGCCUUUUUGCAUUUACCCUUCGAAUAAGGACCAGCUAAUUCCGUGCCAGCAGCCGCGGUAAUACGGAAGGUCCAGGCGUUAUCCGGAUUUAUUGGGUUUAAAGGGAGUGUAGGCGGUCUGUUAAGCGUGUUGUGAAAUUUAGGUGCUCAACAUCUACCUUGCAGCGCGAACUGGCGGACUUGAGUGCACGCAACGUAUGCGGAAUUCAUGGUGUAGCGGUGAAAUGCUUAGAUAUCAUGACGAACUCCGAUUGCGAAGGCAGCGUACGGGAGUGUUACUGACGCUUAAGCUCGAAGGUGCGGGUAUCGAACAGGAUUAGAUACCCUGGUAGUCCGCACGGUAAACGAUGGAUGCCCGCUGUUAGCGCCUGGCGUUAGCGGCUAAGCGAAAGCAUUAAGCAUCCCACCUGGGGAGUACGCCGGCAACGGUG